Molecule: ribosomal RNA, 465 nt
Filed under: uncultured Rhodocyclaceae bacterium
Lineage: Bacteria; Pseudomonadati; Pseudomonadota; Betaproteobacteria; Rhodocyclales; Rhodocyclaceae
Description: partial 16S ribosomal RNA
Source: RNAcentral
GACUACCGGGGUAUCUAAUCCUGUUUGCUCCCCACGCUUUCGUGCAUGAGCGUCAGUGUUAACCCAGGGGGCUGCCUUCGCCAUCGGUGUUCCUCCACAUCUCUACGCAUUUCACUGCUACACGUGGAAUUCCACCCCCCUCUGCUACACUCUAGCAACACAGUCACAAACGCAGUUCCCAGGUUGAGCCCGGGGAUUUCACAUCUGUCUUAUGUCGCCGCCUGCGCACGCUUUACGCCCAGUAAUUCCGAUUAACGCUCGCACCCUACGUAUUACCGCGGCUGCUGGCACGUAGUUAGCCGGUGCUUCUUCUGCAGGUACCGUCAUUAGCCGACUUUAUUAAAGCCGACCGUUUCGUUCCUGCUGAAAGAGCUUUACAACCCGAAGGCCUUCUUCACUCACGCGGAAUGGCUGGAUCAGGGUUGCCCCCAUUGUCCAAAAUUCCCCACUGCAGCCACCCGUAGG